AUGGCACGCCGUGGCGGCUUCUUCGGGUAUGACCCGUAUGACUACUACUACCCGAGCUCCUACGGCUACGAGGCCUACCCGUACUACAGCCCCGCUGCCGCCGAUCCCUUCUUCCUGGACGCCGAGCCUCUUGUCAGGGAGCGGCUGCGCCCCGCCCGCCGGAGGGCCGCGGCGCAGCAUGACGGCGGCUUCUUCCCUGGCUUCGGCGCCGCCGAGCCGGCCGCGCGGACCACGGCGCAUCCCAGGCCUAGCAGCGGGUCUCCGAAGAGCUGCCCGGACUGCUUUGAGGUCGAGGUCACGGGUCCCGACUCCGACUCGCCACCGGCGAUUCCAAAGAAGACGGCGCCGUCCGCGGAGGAGGCCGCGGUGAGGGUGCAGGCGGCGGCGCGCGGGCUGCUCGCUCGUCGCAUGGUGCGGGAGGUGCGCGCGGUGGAGCGGCAGGCGGAGGCCGUGGCCGCGCGGGUGGCGGCCGAGGCGGAGGUGCUCCGCGCGGACGCCCGUGCGCGGAUCGGCCUCGGGGAGGAGCUCAUGCGCCUGCUGCUGCGACUCGACGGCGUGCGCGGCGCCCGGGAGUACCGCAGGAGGGUCACCCGCCGCGUGCUCGCGCUACAGGACGCGGUCGACACGCUCGAGGCCGCGCCCGCGGUGGUGACCGCCGAUGUGCCGGAAGUUCAGGAUGCAGAGGAAGAAGCAGAGAGCGAGAUGGAGCCGGAGCUGCCGGUUGAGGACAAUACUGCGUCGGAUUUUCUGGUUGCCGAGACAACUGACACGGCGGCGAUGGAGGUUGACACGGCGAGUCCCAUCGUCGUCGACGAAGCCGGGCAGAACGAGACGGGACUGGUGGCCGAAGGCGAGAAGGCCUCGGAGGCGGAGGGCGAGUGGGAGAUGGUGGCAACAGGGGACGGCGACGUUUCCACCGGCGAGGAGGGCCCUGCACUACCAAAAGCACAGCAGCAGCAAGAACAGGCACAGGAGGAGAAGAAGAAGGAGACGGUGACCACCGACGGGCUGGAUGCGAAGAAACUGAUGGAGAUGGUGGCAGCGCUGUGCGAGCGGAGCGCGCAGCAGUGCGCGCUCAUCGGGGCUCUGGCUGAGCGGGUCGACACGCUGGAGCGCUCCGUCCGGCGGGUAGAGGAGGCCGACCGGCGCAGACGGAGGAACAAGAAGACCAACAAGAACGGCAAGAAGAACACAAGUAGCUUCUACAGCGACUAG
RNAcentral lists this ribosomal RNA (1215 nucleotides) under Triticum aestivum (bread wheat). RNAcentral's name for it is "partial small subunit ribosomal RNA". Lineage: Eukaryota; Viridiplantae; Streptophyta; Magnoliopsida; Poales; Poaceae. The record is from RNAcentral.